RNAcentral lists this ribosomal RNA (253 nucleotides) under uncultured bacterium. RNAcentral's name for it is "partial 16S ribosomal RNA". It matches the Rfam family "Bacterial small subunit ribosomal RNA", at positions 524 to 776 of the family's 1533-position model. The record is from RNAcentral.
UACGGGGGGGGCAAGCGUUGUUCGGAAUUACUGGGCGUAAAGGGCUCGUAGGCGGCCAACUAAGUCGGAUGUGAAAUCCCCAGGCUUAACCUGGGAACUGCAUCCGAUACUGGAUGGCUUGAAUCCGGGAGAGGGAUGCAGAAUUCCAGGUGUAGCGGUGAAAUGCGUAGAUAUCUGGAGGAAUACCGGUGGCGAAGGCGGCAUCCUGGACCGGCAUUGACGCUGAUGAGCGAAAGCGUGGGUAGCAAACAGG